RNAcentral lists this microRNA precursor (75 nucleotides) under Medicago truncatula (barrel medic). Its description in RNAcentral is "MIR5272 microRNA precursor family". It matches the Rfam family "MIR5272 microRNA precursor family". The record is from Rfam by way of RNAcentral. Lineage: Eukaryota; Viridiplantae; Streptophyta; Magnoliopsida; Fabales; Fabaceae.
UUGGAUGUGAAUUGAUUUAUGUUUGGACACACUUGUUUAAAAGUGAGUUUUUAUGAGUUGAUAUUGUUUGGAUAG